This 420-nucleotide ribosomal RNA is filed under the name Fusobacteriota bacterium. RNAcentral describes it as "Fusobacteria bacterium partial 16S ribosomal RNA". It matches the Rfam family "Bacterial small subunit ribosomal RNA", at positions 355 to 776 of the family's 1533-position model. The record is from RNAcentral. Lineage: Bacteria; Fusobacteriati; Fusobacteriota.
UGGGGGAUAUUGCACAAUGGGCGAAAGCCUGCUGCAGCGACGCCGCGUGGGGGAUGAAGGCCUUCGGGUUGUAAACUUCUUUUGCUCUGAACAAGGCAUGCCUUUGGGGUUUGUUGAGUGUAGGGGUUGAUUAGCGCCGGCUAACUACGUGCCAGCAGCCGCGGUAAUACGUAGGGCGCGAGCGUUGUCCGGAAUUAUUGGGCGUAAAGGGCUUGUAGGUGGCUGGUUGCGUCUGUCGUGAAAGCUCAUGGCUUAACUGUGGGUUUGCGGUGGGUACGGGCUGGCUUGAGUGCAGUAGGGGAGGCUGGAAUUCCUGGUGUAGCGGUGGAAUGCGCAGAUAUCAGGAGGAAUACCGGUGGCGAAGGCGGGUCUCUGGGCUGUUACUGACGCUGAGGAGCGAAAGCGUGGGGAGCGAACAGG